This 2257-nucleotide long non-coding RNA is filed under the name Sus scrofa (pig). RNAcentral describes it as "lncRNA (ENSSSCG00000041277.1, ENSSSCG00110007454.1)". Lineage: Eukaryota; Metazoa; Chordata; Mammalia; Artiodactyla; Suidae. The record is from RNAcentral.
GCAGAAGUGGGGAAACGGGAGCCAGAAAGCCAAGCCAUGUGCAGAAGGGCACCAUCUGGUCAACGGAGCUGGGGUUAGAAUCCGGCGUCCUGAAUCUCCCAUGUGGGAAGACAGUGCGAAUAGUGAAGAGAAUGUGAGCUUUAGAGUCAGAAAUAACUGGAUUUGAACCCCAGUGCUGCUACUUACAAGAAUCCUGGUCUUGAGCCAUUCUACUUGCAGUACAGGGGAUAGCUGAAGAGAAAAUCCUGACUCAUAUCCUGCAAUUUAUCAAGCUCAGUGGAAAGAGAUAGCUCACUAACAAGGCGAAAAGCAAAGGAAGAAUCGUCCUGACUGAGAUCACAUGCUUCAUGCCCAUUCCUUAACCCGUCUCUUUGACUAAAGGAAGAAAUACUUUGAUGAGGGUUUAUAACCACGAGGACCACCCCUGUGAUAGAUGAAUGGAGUGAGUAGGGUUAUCUCAACCGCAGAACCAUGGGAAAGAGUGCUUUUUAUACUGGAAAGUUCUGCCACACCACUCAAUGUAAGCAAUCAUAAAGAAUUCAUUGGCCUAUUGCUUUCGGUAACUAUUUUUAGGAAAGUGUUAUGGUAGAGGUCUCUGGAAAGAGAGUGGCUUCCAGAAACCAGGAGGCAUAAUUUGGCAGCAGAAUGGGUACCCGGGGUGUAUUGGCGACUUCUGUUUACAGAAGGCAAUGCUCUCUAGGCUACUUAUGCCCAUGCCUGCCUUCACUUUACUCUUCAGAACAACCCUGUGAGGUAUAUGUUAUUAUUCCUCAUUUAUGAUUAAAAAAGUAAAUUGACCUAGGUCACAAGCUUGGUCACAAUCAAAGUUCAGUUUUGAACCCAGAUCUAUUUCUGAAAACCAUGUGCUUUUCAACAUAUGGUAAUGUUCUAAAUGCAAAAUGUUGGCAUCUUGACAAAGUAAGCAGAGGUUUUCAUUUUGUGUUGCUUUCCCUCUUCCUUUCCUCUAAGAAAAAAGAACAUGUUACCUGUUAGAGAUCAACUUUGGGAAAGUGAUACAUUCUGAGGAUCUAGGAGCUGGGAGGUCGUAAGCAUUGAAAGCAGCAAAAAGGAUGGGAAAGUCCUUUGGUGGUGAGCUUAGGACAGAUUUUCUUUUCUACUUAUAACAUUAAAAGAAUGGAGAUUUGCUGAGAUUUUCCACUUCUAUAUAUAAUCAGCAAAUUUGUUAUUUGUCACAGAUUUUAUAUUAAGUAGUUGGUACGGAAUGUCAGACUGUACUAUUCCCUCACAUAACAACUAUUUAUUGAAUUUUUACUAUAACAUAAGCAUUAAAAAAAGAAACCUAAGGGCAUAAAAUAUCUAAUAAAAUGGUAAAAAUCAAGUUUUAAAGAUUAAAUAAAGGAAAGUACAAAAGGAAAGACUAAAAUUCAGCUAAAUCAACAAAAAUCUCGCAGGCCACCUCAUGUACUUUGAUGGCGUUCACCCUCCCAAAUCUAGAGAAACAAUGUGUUAUGGCCAAGUUUAGCUCUUAUUCUUCCUCCUACAAAAUUACAGUAGACUAUGAACUUGUGGUUUCUGUCCAAGUGAAAACUUCCCACGAUUAUAUUCCUGACAUUUUACUAUAUAAAAAGAAGAGUCUAAUUUCUCUACAGAAAAACAGGAUUUCAAAAUUAAACCUGGGAGAGUGAAGAGUUCAAACUACACAAUCUCUCAGUUAUUUGUAGUGACCUUUAGCAACACUUGGUUGGAGCCACCAAAGAGCAAAAUUCUUCAUUUAUAGUUUUUCAUUUUUAAAAAAAGUAUCUAUGAAUAAAGAUCCAAAAGUCUCAAAGGGAGCUUCAUAGAGUUGUUCAAUCCAGAAUAGAAAUCAUCAGGAUUCACAAAUAUUUGUGCAGAAAAGCCUGCAUAGUUAUUCAACUCCUGGAGGAAUAAUUCCUAAAUCUUAGCAUGGCACACUGGGCGUCUAAGUUCAAGUUCCUACCUACUUUUUACCUUUUAUGUGAGUAAUACUUUCUCACCCUCUCAGGACCUAAAGCCCUUGCUAUUUCUGAAUGUCAUGUUGCUUUUUGCCUCUAUGCCUUUAUUUAUACUUAUCUUUUUGGGCAAAAGUCUUUUUUUACACUUUUAGAACUAGCAAACUCAAAUGCAUUCUUCAAAAUUGAACUCAAACAAAAUUCAGGGUAUUGUUACCAAUGGAAAAAGUUUUAACCCAAGUGCCUGUUCUCCCAAAGUGUUUUUAAAAAUUUGUUUGCAUACCUCUAUUAUAGCUCUUUUAUUACAUUAAUUUAUACCAAAUUAA